This 1941-nucleotide unclassified non-coding RNA is filed under the name Cotesia glomerata. Its description in RNAcentral is "sodium- and chloride-dependent GABA transporter 2- like, transcript variant X1". Lineage: Eukaryota; Metazoa; Arthropoda; Insecta; Hymenoptera; Braconidae. The record is from RNAcentral.
GUUCUCAUUUAAGACCCGACAACUGAACACGUGUUAAAAAAAAAUUAAUGUUAAAAAUUAAUUUAUUGUUAUUUUUUAUUAUUAAAAAUUGAUUUAAUUUUUGGGAAAAAUGAUUGAAAAUUCAGGAAAUUGUGAAGCCGUCGGCUGUACGGGAGAUGAAUUUAUGAGGGGAGUGAAAAGGUUGUCAGUAAAAGUAACAGAAGCAGUGAUGAAAAAGCCCAAAGAGCGAAAAGGAUGGGCCAAUAAGGCAGAAUUCGUGAUGUCCUGUAUGGGAUACGCCAUAGGAAUCGGGAACGUAUGGCGGUUCCCCUUUUUAGUGUACAAAAAUGGCGGCGGUGCCUUUUUGAUUCCAUUUGUGCUGAUGUUAGUCACCAUGGGAAUCCCAAUCUUCUACCUAGAGGUCGCUGUAGGCCAGUACUCGGGUCGAGGUCCUUUCCAGGUGUACGAGUCCCUCGCUCCAGCUUUUGGAGGAAUAGGAUUAUGCACCCUUUUGGUUAUUGCGCUGGUCAGCGUUUAUUAUAUGGUUCUUAUAAGCUGGAUUAUGUCAUAUAUCGUCGCUUCUUUUCAUUCUAAAUUAGCUUGGGGGUACUGCGAUUAUGAAUGGAACGAUUAUGCAUGCUACAGUCAACUCCAAGCCUCAAAUUGCCGUGAAGAAAAUUCUAGCUCAAUUUUCUUCAACAAAACUUGUCAAUCUAUAACAGCAGUUUGUCAAAAUUUUGGAUAUCCCCACGGAGAUCUUCACGGGAAUUGUUACAACAGUUCAUUUAUUGUCCCUGUAAAGUCUCUGUACAAAAGGGUGUUGUCCAGUGAACAAUACUUCAACAAUUACGCUCUUGGAAUGAAUGGGGCAACUUGGGAAAAUUACGGAUCCCUAAACUGGCAAUUGUUGAUUUACUUGUCCCUCGGAUGGAUAAUAGUCUUUAUCUGUUUGUCCCGCGGAGUUAAAUCAGCGGGUAAAGUCGCGUAUUUUACCGCCAUUUUUCCGUAUGUGAUGCUUACUGCUGUAUUGAUUCGAGGUGUAACACUAGAAAAUGCGAUGGAAGGUAUAAAAUAUUUUAUAAUUCCCCACUUUGAGCAACUGAAAAAUGCUAGCGUUUGGGGAGAUGCCGCGUCCCAAGUUUUCUAUUCCCUGGGAAUCGGAUGUGGAUCCCUGAUCACAAUGUCCAGUUUCAAUUCCUUCACCAACAAUUGCUUCAGUUUAAAAAUCGGUAUUUUCCAGGGACACAAUUUUCAUAGCGGUAGCAAACGUCUUUACGUCGGUAUUCGCCGGGUUCGCGAUAUUCUCGAUCCUCGGACACUUGUCGAUGAAAAUGGAGAUGCCGAUUCAAGAACUAGCCCAGGAUGGGGGUCUGGCUUUGGCCUUUAUUGCCUACCCGGAGGCGGUUAUCCAGAUGCCUUUGCCGAACUUGUGGGCUAUUUUGUUCUUCCUGAUGUUGUUCAUCCUCGGACUUGGGAGUCAAUUCCCAGGUGUUCAAGCAAUAAGUACAGCAAUAAUCGACUUAAAACCGUCUCUCCGAGACAAAGAACACUUAGUGAUAUUAGGCGUCUGCUUCGGAGGCUGGUUACUAGGCUUGCCGAUGAUCUUCGGCGGAGGAGUCCUCUUGUACCAACUGAUGGACUGGAACACCGCGAGUUGGGCCGUGUUGCUGAUAGGUGUCGCCGAACUUAUUGUUCCCUGCUGGAUGUACGGUUGCAACAAAUUCAUCAGCAACAUUAGUGAGAUGAAGAUGAAGUUCAACAAGUUCUCCUACGGAUAUUGGUGGAUCAACUGGGUAAUCCUCGCUCCUUUUACUUGCAUGGCGAUUUUCAUCUACCAAAUGACUCAAUAUUAUCCUGUGACUUAUGGAAACUACAAGUACCCUUACUGGGCGAAAUCCAUCGGAACAAUGAUUGGUCUCAGUACUUUAAUGCCCUUGCCGCUGUAUUUCUUCUAUCGUCUCU